AGUCACUGACAUUAGAUACCCGUGUAGUCCAGGGUGUAAACGCUGCAGACUUGGUGUUGGAAAUCCUUCGAGGGUAUUCAGUGCCGGAGAGAAGUUGUUAAGUCUACUACUUGGGGAGUACGUCCGCAAGGAUGAAACUUAAAGGAAUUGGCGGGGGAGCACCGCAACGGGAGGAGCGUGCGGUUUAAUUGGAUUCAACACCGUAAACUCACCAGGGAAGACUGUUACAUGAAGGCCGAGAUGAAGACUCUGCUAGAUUUUCAG
RNAcentral lists this ribosomal RNA (264 nucleotides) under uncultured archaeon. RNAcentral describes it as "partial 16S ribosomal RNA". It matches the Rfam family "Archaeal small subunit ribosomal RNA", at positions 717 to 982 of the family's 1478-position model. The record is from RNAcentral.